UCAUGACAACAUUGUUCUGGAACAUAUGUUAAAAAGUUGAAUUUCAAAUAAAUACAGAAAAAAAAUCACAAGUCCAGUCAGUGCAGUUACAAAAAGAAGAAAGAAGAUAUUUCAUCGGCUCAUUAUUUGAGUGGAGAAGGGUUCCAGAGUACAGAGAGGUAUCCUGAUGGCAGAAAAAGGCAGACAGAAGCAUCUAAUUUCUUCUUGCAUCAGGAGGAUAAAUCAGGCAGCAAACAACAGGAGGAUCAACAUCGUAUGGAUCAACAAGACGGUUAAAAAACAGGUGCGCAAGCAACUCAGAUAGCUGCCUUUAGAGUCCUUUCUUGUGGGACUCAUCCUGAGAAUGAACCACAUUAUUAAGCCGCUGGAUGACCUUCAGAAGCUGUUGGAAAGACAUAUAGAGGAACAGGAAUCCCAAUGUUACAUAUGGCAGGGGGACAUGGAGGAAGAGGAUAAGGAUGAGUGCCUGGACCCGAAGACAAAGAACUUGAACUUUUCUGAAACAUCUACUGAUACUAACAGCAUCCUAACAAGAUAUGAGCAAGAGAUGGUAGAAUCAGAGGAUGGGGGAAAGUUCAAAGAAUCCUUUUUGGGUCAAACCAAGCUUCAAGCCCCAGGAACAAAAAUGUGAGGAGAGGGUCAAAAUAGAUAGAACAAAUAAGGAGGAUGAGCUGAUGGAGAAACAAUGGAAGGAGUGGAUGGACCAACAAGAAGUUAGAGGAAAACAAGUCAAAGUAACGCUAGAUGCAGCACAGAGUAUUGGAAAACAGGAAACAGCAGCAGCAAAGCCCAUACUUGAGAAACAAGAGAAGAAAACUCCCAAAAAAGAGAGCAAGAUUACAAAAAUCAAGAAUCAUUUUAAUUAUCUUUUCAAUCCUUUCUCUCCUUCUAAGUGGAAGAGAUUUGAAGAUGAGAGCUGAAAGACUAUAACUACAUUUUCCAUUUGUCUCUUUGCUGUGCUUCAUGAAGUAUUAAGCUCCAUAAAUAAAACUAUGUGCAUCAAAACAAAACUGA
Notolabrus celidotus (New Zealand spotty) is the source of this 1014-nucleotide long non-coding RNA. RefSeq lists it as uncharacterized. The record is from RefSeq and is a predicted model, not a curated record. NCBI's taxonomy places the organism in Eukaryota, Metazoa, Chordata, Actinopteri, Labriformes, Labridae. The transcript has 3 exons.